UGGGCGUAAGGGCUCGCAGGCGGUUUCUUAAGUCUGAUGUGAAAGCCCCCGGCUCAACCGGGGAGGGUCAUUGGAAACUGGGGAACUUGAGUGCAGAAGAGGAGAGUGGAAUUCCACGUGUAGCGGUGAAAUGCGUAGAGAUGUGGAGGAACACCAGUGGCGAAGGCGACUCUCUGGUCUGUAACUGACGCUGAGGAGCGAAAGCGUGGGGAGCGAACAGGAUUAGAUACCCUGGUAGUCCACGCCGUAAACGAUGAGUGCUAAGUGUUAGGGGGUUUCCGCCCCUUAGUGCUGCAGCUAACGCAUUAAGCACUCCGCCUGGGGAGUACGGUCGCAAGACUGAAACUCAAAGGAAUUGACGGGGGCCCGCACAAGCGGUGGAGCAUGUGGUUUAAUUCGAAGCAACGCGAAGAACCUUACCAGGUCUUGACAUCCUCUGACAAUCCUAGAGAUAGGACGUCCCCUUCGGGGGCAGAGUGACAGGUGGUGCAUGGUUGUCGUCAGCUCGUGUCGUGAGAUGUUGGGUUAAGUCCCGCAACGAGCGCAACCCUUGAUCUUAGUUGCCAGCAUUCAGUUGGGCACUCUAAGGUGACUGCCGGUGACAAACCGGAGGAAGGUGGGGAUGACGUCAAAUCAUCAUGCCCCUUAUGACCUGGGCUACACACGUGCUACAAUGGACAGAACAAAGGGCAGCGAAACCGCGAGGUUAAGCCAUCCCACAAUCUGUUCUCAGUUCGGAUC
This 741-nucleotide ribosomal RNA is filed under the name Bacillus subtilis. RNAcentral describes it as "bacterial SSU rRNA". It matches the Rfam family "Bacterial small subunit ribosomal RNA", at positions 555 to 1299 of the family's 1533-position model. Lineage: Bacteria; Bacillati; Bacillota; Bacilli; Caryophanales; Bacillaceae. The record is from RNAcentral.